Long non-coding RNA from Xenia sp. Carnegie-2017, 447 nucleotides. RefSeq lists it as uncharacterized. NCBI's taxonomy places the organism in Eukaryota, Metazoa, Cnidaria, Anthozoa, Malacalcyonacea, Xeniidae. The record is from RefSeq and is a predicted model, not a curated record. The transcript has 2 exons.
CUCGUUUGCCACCCAUUUUCAUCCGGAGGAGUAAUAUCCAUUUGUGGUUGUAAACAGAAAGGCCAAAGCGCGGCUUGGUACAAAAAUGUUGUAAUGAUUGUUAAUCUUCAGUUAAGGCUUUAUGCUCAAGAUCAUGUUUUACAGUUCAAGAAAGAAUAUUUUUCAGUGAGCCAUUUCAGAAGCCAGAAAGCUGGGGUUUUUUGCUUGGGUUGAAACUUGUUUUAUUGUAAAUUUGAUUAGCGAGGACUUUCAUAGAUAAAAGUUGUCUUUGUCAUACCAUGAAAAGGAGAGUGAAAAAGUUCUGGCACAUUGAUUGAAAAAGUGAUCCUGUAUAUAUAUUUCUCAACAAGAAAUGUAGUUAUGAUUUUGAUCUAUACAAACUAAUUUACUCUGUGUCCUUUGAUAAAAGUUUAUAAUGUUGAUUUAAAAUAAAGAAUAUCUGAAUUA